Non-coding RNA from Yamadazyma jaroonii, 75 nucleotides. The record is from the annotation of a GenBank genome assembly. NCBI's taxonomy places the organism in Eukaryota, Fungi, Ascomycota, Pichiomycetes, Serinales, Debaryomycetaceae.
GGUUCUAUGGUCUAGCGGCUAUGACGUCUCCUUUACAAACGGAGAAGAUCCCGAGUUCGAUCCUCGGUAGAAUCA